CUGAAACUGCUGAGAUUGAAUUAGAGCUCGCCAAUUUAUUAUUGAACUUACCGUCAAUUAAGCAGGAGUAUCUAAUCCGUGAUGAUCACAAACUAAUUUUGCUGGCAUCUCUUAGUGACUCACUGGAAUAUGUUGCAGACUCUAUUGACAAGUUAGGACAGACAACUUUGAAACCUUCAUAUCAAGCAGAAGUUAAUGGCAGGCACCAUCAUACCCGAACAAACAGUGCACUUACUCGGGAUCUGG
RNAcentral lists this unclassified non-coding RNA (246 nucleotides) under Hevea brasiliensis (rubber tree). The record is from RNAcentral. Lineage: Eukaryota; Viridiplantae; Streptophyta; Magnoliopsida; Malpighiales; Euphorbiaceae.